This 253-nucleotide unclassified non-coding RNA is filed under the name uncultured fungus. RNAcentral describes it as "partial contains 5.8S ribosomal RNA, internal transcribed spacer 2, and large subunit ribosomal RNA". The record is from RNAcentral. Lineage: Eukaryota; Fungi.
AACGCACAUUGCGCCCGCCAGCACUCUGGCGGGCAUGCCUGUCCGAGCGUCAUUUCAACCCUCGAGCCCCCCCGGGGGCCCCGGCGUUGGGGGCCGGCCCCGGCCGCCCCCGAAAUGCAGUGGCGACCUCGCCGCAGCCUCCCCUGCGCAGUAGCACACACCUCGCACCGGAGCGCGGAGACGGUCACGCCGUGAAACGCACCAGCUUUCCAGAGUUGACCUCGGAUCAGGUAGGAAUACCCGCUGAACUUAA